This is a long non-coding RNA of Polyodon spathula (Mississippi paddlefish), 994 nucleotides long. RefSeq lists it as uncharacterized. The record is from RefSeq and is a predicted model, not a curated record. The transcript is spliced from 3 exons. NCBI's taxonomy places the organism in Eukaryota, Metazoa, Chordata, Actinopteri, Acipenseriformes, Polyodontidae.
CUGCUUUGUGCCGUUUGGAAUAUCUUUCAUUUUGUGCCAAAGCACUAUUUGUUUGCGAGGCACAAAUUUAGCGAGGAGAUCGCUUGAAGAUCGGGCCCCACGUCCGUUUAGGCUGAGAUAUUUAUUUCAGAGUCCCGGUAUUAUUUAACACACAGUUCUCAUGGGACAGAUGCAGCCCCGUCACACACCCACUGCCUUGCUCACAGUAGGACUCCUGGUUUGAGUCGAUUGAGAUGGGGUCCGAGGAGUUACGAAGAAAUGCACAGUUCAAUCACUAGAACUUGGCUGCCUCACACACAGUAGGACUGCUGUUUUUUUGGUCAUUCAGUUGGAGUCCAACGAUCUGAGGAGAAAUGCAGAGCUGGCCUAGCUUGAGUAGAAAUGCAAAGGUAACUGAACGUGGCUUGAAAUGGUAGCGCUGUUCAUCGUGACGUCAGCAUGGAGUAAACCCACACGGAGAGCAAACUCAUUCACCGGAUGCACAAAGCUGCAUAGUUCUUCUUGAGAUAUUCUUGAGAGAUAUUUAAUAAAGCUGUCUUCAUCCAAAAACUGAAUUGACUCCUCCAUUUUCUAUGGCUUGGACUUUUAAGUGGUAUGCCCUCUGACACAUUAGCUGAUAUAGAAUAGGAAAUAAACAUUCUGGGGGUGUCCUGUAACUUAGCAACACGGGUCUUCGAAGAUGGCAAACUCUUACCUAUUGACCGUACGGAAUUUUUCAGAAUUAAAGACAAUUAAUGUAGCUCACCAAUUGUAUAAAACAUGACUUUUAAGAUUGUUCAUUAGGCCUUGUAGUGUAUGUGAUUUAAAAAAACAAACAAAACAAAAAAACAACUACAGGUUGAAAUAAUUAAAUCUGUCAAGUGGUUUUCAAAUGGUGUGUGUUAACUCAAACAUGUCAUUUAAGCACUCUGCCGAUUGCAUAACAUAGAAUCAGGCCCCUGAUUAUCAAACCAGAGACAAAUGAAAAGCCUCACUAAAACAUUCACUCCCACUG